UGGGCGUAAGGGCUCGCAGGCGGUUUCUUAAGUCUGAUGUGAAAGCCCCCGGCUCAACCGGGGAGGGUCAUUGGAAACUGGGAAACUUGAGUGCAGAAGAGGAGAGUGGAAUUCCACGUGUAGCGGUGAAAUGCGUAGAGAUGUGGAGGAACACCAGUGGCGAAGGCGACUCUCUGGUCUGUAACUGACGCUGAGGAGCGAAAGCGUGGGGAGCGAACAGGAUUAGAUACCCUGGUAGUCCACGCCGUAAACGAUGAGUGCUAAGUGUUAGGGGGUUUCCGCCCCUUAGUGCUGCAGCUAACGCAUUAAGCACUCCGCCUGGGGAGUACGGUCGCAAGACUGAAACUCAAAGGAAUUGACGGGGGCCCGCACAAGCGGUGGAGCAUGUGGUUUAAUUCGAAGCAACGCGAAGAACCUUACCAGGUCUUGACAUCCUCUGACAACCCUAGAGAUAGGGCUUUCCCUUCGGGGACAGAGUGACAGGUGGUGCAUGGGUGUCGUCAGCUCGUGUCGUGAGAUGUUGGGUUAAGUCCCGCAACGAGCGCAACCCUCGAUCUUAGUUGCCAGCAUUCAGUUGGGCACUCUCAGGUGACUGCCGGUGACAAACCGGAGGAAGGUGUGGAUGACAUCUAAUCAUCACGCCCCUUAUGACCUGGGCUACACACGUGCUACAAUGGACAGAAC
RNAcentral lists this ribosomal RNA (684 nucleotides) under Bacillus pumilus. RNAcentral's name for it is "bacterial SSU rRNA". It matches the Rfam family "Bacterial small subunit ribosomal RNA", at positions 555 to 1240 of the family's 1533-position model. Lineage: Bacteria; Bacillati; Bacillota; Bacilli; Caryophanales; Bacillaceae. The record is from RNAcentral.